RNAcentral lists this transfer RNA (73 nucleotides) under Marmota monax (woodchuck). RNAcentral describes it as "tRNA.Ala". The stretch from base 6 to 70 matches the Rfam family "tRNA". From Rfam's summary of the family: Transfer RNA (tRNA) molecules are approximately 80 nucleotides in length. Their secondary structure includes four short double-helical elements and three loops (D, anti-codon, and T loops). The record is from RNAcentral. Lineage: Eukaryota; Metazoa; Chordata; Mammalia; Rodentia; Sciuridae.
GCCAAGGUGUGGCUCAGUGGUAGAGUGCUUGCCCAGCAUGUGUGAGGCACUGGGUUCAAUUCUCAGCACCGCA